Molecule: ribosomal RNA, 119 nt
Filed under: Pteropus alecto (black flying fox)
Lineage: Eukaryota; Metazoa; Chordata; Mammalia; Chiroptera; Pteropodidae
Source: RNAcentral
AUCUACGGCCAUGCCACCCUGAACAAGCCUGAUCCCUUCUGAUCUCGGACGCUAAGCCUGGUCGGUCCUGGUUAGUACUUGGAUGGGAGACCAUUUAGGGAAGACCGGUGCUGUAGGCU